Molecule: ribosomal RNA, 407 nt
Filed under: uncultured bacterium
Lineage: Bacteria
Description: partial 16S ribosomal RNA
Rfam family: Bacterial small subunit ribosomal RNA
Source: RNAcentral
GACGAACGCUGGCGGCGUGCCUAAUACAUGCAAGUAGAACGCAGUUGCGAACGGGUGAUUAACGCGUAGGUAACUGCCUGGUAGCGGGGGAUAACUAUUGGAAACGAUAGCUAAUACCGCAUACUACCAGAUGGACCUGCGUUGUAUUAUCUAGUUGGUGGGGUAACGGCUCACCAAGGCAACGAUACAUAGCCGACCUGGGAGGGAGGUCGGCCAAAAUGGGACUGAGACAAGGCCCAGACGCCUACGGGAGGCAGCAGUAGGGAAUCAUCGGAAAUGGGGGGAAACCUGACCGAGCAACGCCGCGUGAGUGAAGAAGGUUGUCGGAUCGUAAAACUCUGUUGUUAAGGAAGCGGUACUUGACCAGAAAGGGACGGCUAACUACGUGCCAGCAGCCGCGGUAAUAC